AGCUAGAUAGUUUAGGGGUUAGAACAUUAGGCCUAUAAUCUAAAGACCUAGGUUUAAUUCCUAGUUUAGCUA
Molecule: transfer RNA, 72 nt
Filed under: Lecanosticta acicola CBS 871.95
Lineage: Eukaryota; Fungi; Ascomycota; Dothideomycetes; Mycosphaerellales; Mycosphaerellaceae
Description: tRNA-Ile (TAT) (tRNA-Ile-TAT-2-1)
Rfam family: tRNA
About the family: Transfer RNA (tRNA) molecules are approximately 80 nucleotides in length. Their secondary structure includes four short double-helical elements and three loops (D, anti-codon, and T loops).
Source: RNAcentral